AUUGAACGCUGGCGGUAUGCCUUACACAUGCAAGUCGAACGGCAGCACGGGAGCAAUCCUGGUGGCGAGUGGCGAACGGGUGAGUAAAGUAUCGGAACGUGCCCAGUCGUGGGGGAUAACGUAGCGAAAGUUACGCUAAUACCGCAUACGAUCUAUGGAUGAAAGCGGGGGAUCGCAAGACCUCGCGCGAGUGGAGCGGCCGAUAGCAGAUUAGGUAGUUGGUGGGGUAAAGGCUCACCAAGCCGACGAUCUGUAGCUGGUCUGAGAGGACGACCAGCCACACUGGGACUGAGACACGGCCCAGACUCCUACGGGAGGCAGCAGUGGGGAAUUUUGGACAAUGGGCGAAAGCCUGAUCCAGCCAUGCCGCGUGCAGGAUGAAGGCCUUCGGGUUGUAAACUGCUUUUGUACGGAACGAAAAGGUUUGGCCUAAUAAGCUGAGCUCAUGACGGUACCGUAAGAAUAAGCACCGGCUAACUACGUGCCAGCAGCCGCCGUAA
Molecule: ribosomal RNA, 500 nt
Filed under: uncultured bacterium
Lineage: Bacteria
Description: partial 16S ribosomal RNA
Rfam family: Bacterial small subunit ribosomal RNA
Source: RNAcentral